CUGUACAUUCCGAUCGAGUUUCUGACCGACCGAUCCAUCACGCGCCGGUCCUGUUCGUCGUCUGCAUGCAUUCCAUGACCUGCAAGUGCGAUGCGCUGACGGACACCAAGGCCGCCUGCUUCAGCGCCCUCUGGAUCGGGACUCUGUGCUGCGCUGGAUCCCAGGCGACCGCGGCGGCGCUGGCGCUGCUGCUCCCACGCCGCCCCCGCUGGAUCAUCCGUGAACUGGCCAACUUCUCGGUCGCGGUCGCCGGCGCUGGCCACUGCAUGUUCCACGGCGCCAUCUACAUCCUCCACCCAGGAGUCUACUUCACACUGGCCUCGAUCCUGUUCAUGCUGGGCGACAUCAUCUGCGGCAUGACUCUCUACCUGGUAGGUGAGGACUGAGGAGUAGGGCAAGCAGCACGCACCACGCAGCCACGCUUAGUUGAGCUAGCUGCAUGAGAUUAUGUGUGAUUAUGUGCAUGUAUCAGCUCGUAGGAGAGGUACUGAUGACAUCGUGGUUCUAGCUAAGGAAGAAUAAACCUAUAGUAUGCACGCAGUAUAUAUGCUGCGAGGACCGAUUGAUGGAGUGCCGUAUGUAUGUGUGAAUCUACUAGUGUUCGGGAUUUAGGACGUCGAUAACGGCCGAACGUUCGGCCUCGUGGCUCGCCAGAUCGAACGAUUUGUUCGGUGACGGGGUGGGCAGCGACCGAACAAAUUCGUUCGGGAUGAGAGGAGUCCCAGCCCGAACGCCCUCCCCCCCACCUGCAUAGCAUCUGUUCGGCAUUAUGACUAUAACAAAGAAAAGAAAGCCUAGUAUGGCCCAGUUUGCACUACGAAUAAAAAACAUUUUUUGAUCUGUGAAAAAAGAAAGCUCAGGUUUUGCCAUAUUAUGAAAAAAAAACUGCCAUUAAAAGAAGAAAAUUGAGAACUAAAAAAUCCCAGUGAUGCAAACCAGAAAUUGCCAUCUGUCUUUAACCAAGCAAAAAUGCUAUGGGCAAAGAUGAUAUUUGUUUACAAAAGAAUAAAACAAACAUGAAAAUGCCUAAAACCUACUAUGUGUAGAAAAAUAGAAAAAUAACAAAAUACCAUAUGCAGUAAGUAUUUUUUCCAUGUAAUAUACACAUGACUAAUUUACCAUCUAAUAUAAUACCAAAAAAUCAUACAUGAAUAAGAAUGCAACAAUGCGACUCCUUAGUUAAAAAUUGUACUCUUUCUCGCAUCGUCCUAAAAAAGAAUCUUGCCGCGAGCAUUAAUCUAAAUUUUUCAUGGGACAUCUAGUGAAUUUGCCAUGGUAAAAAAAUAGUUGACAUCAUCUUGAAAAAAUAAACUUGCCAUGGGCAUUAAACUGAAUUUAUCAUGGGACAUCUAGUGAAUUUGCCAUGGAAAAAUCAGUUUAAAAUUGCCAUGAAAAAAUGUUGACAUUGUCUUGAAAAAAGGAACUCGCCAUGGGCAUUAAACUGAAUUUUCCGUGGGACAUCUAGUGAAUUUUCCAUGGCAAAAUCACUUUAAAAAAUUGCCAUGGUAAAAAAAAUUGACAUCGUCUUCAAAAAAAGAAACUUGCCAUGGGCAUUAAACUGAAUUUGCUGUCGGACAUCUAGUGAAUUUGCUGUGGUAAAAAAUAAUAACAUCAUCUUGAAAAAGAUAGUUGCCAUGGGAAUCAAACUGAAUUGGCCAUGGGACAUCUGGUGAAUUUGCCAUGACAAAAUCACUUAAAAAAUUGCCAUGGUAAAAAAAGUUGACAUCGUCUUGAAAAAAAGAAACUUGCCAUGGGCAUUAAAUUGAAUUUGCCGUGGGACAUCUAGUGAAUUUGCCAUGGCAAAUUCACUUUAGAAAAUUGCCAUGGUAAAAGAAAAGUUGACAUCGUCUAGAGAAAAGAAACUUGCCAUAGGCAUUAAACUAAAUUUGCCAUGGGACAUCUAGUGAAUUUUCCAUGGCAAAAUCACUUUAAAAAUUGCCAUCCUAAAAAAAAGUUGUCGUCGUCUUGAAAAAAGAAACUUGCCAUGGGCAUUGAACUGAAUUUACCGUCAGACAUCUACUAAAUUUUUCGUGGCAAAAUCAAUUUAAACAUUGCCAUGCUAAAACUUGCCAUGAUCUACGAACUAAAUUUGCCAUGGCCAAUUUAGGACACAAAAUAAUUCAUCUUGUCCUAAAAAACUUGCCAUGCUAUCUAGACAAAAGUGUGACUUUCCUAGAAGAAUGCUUGUAAAUACGCAUGUAUAGUGGCCAUGAAAAAAAAACUAAAAUUAAGUUUCCCAUGUCAAUACAUCUUAAGUUUGCAAAUAAUGACAGAAAAACAACACAUCUUAGGUGGUGUUUGGUUCUCUAGUCCUAGGACUUUUUCUAGUCCCAACUAAAAAGUCCCUAGUCCCUAAAAAGUCCCUCCCUGUUUGUUUCCAGAGACUAAAAAGUCCCUAGUCCCUUCCUAGAGGUUAUUAAAUGACCAUGUUGCCCCUAGUAUAUAGAAACAUAACAAUCAAACAACACUAUGGGGUGGCGGGCCAAUGGGUGCAUGGAGGGGCAUUAUUGGAAAAGUCCCAAAAAGACUCUCCUUGAGAGUCUUCUUCAUUUAGUCCCAAAUGCCUAGUUUAGUCCCUAAAAAGUCCCUCCCGUUUGGUAAAAAAGUCUCUAAGAGGGACUUUUUCUAGUCCCUACACAAAAAAGCCCCGGGAAACAAACACCCCCUUAAAGUUUUGCAUUGCAAACUCGAUCUUGAGCUACCCAUAGGACGACAUGUUAAAGAAUUGCCAUGGCAAUAUCACAUUAUAGACAAAUUAAAAGCAAUGGACAGCCGUUCCAGGGAACAAAACAACUAAUCCCCAUAUAAAUGUUUAGAUCAGAGGAAAAACCCCAUCAAAAACACCAUGAACAAAACAACUACUUCCCAUAUACACUGUGAAUCUGCGAUGCAUCUACUCCACCAACAAAGUGUGACCAAACUAAAAAAUCCAUCUCAUCUCUGCCUCAAUUUUCAGCCAUGGACUUAAAUUGCCAUCCUUCAUUGAAAACUACAUUUGCCUUCGCAAAAAGUGGAGACAUGCCAUUUUUUCAGUUGUCAUGUGAUCAUGGCAAUUAAAAUUUGCCAUUGUGUUGGGUAAAAGCAUGGUAAUACUUUGCCAUGAGACAUAGGAGGAACCUCCAAGCACUUGCCAUGUGACAGCUACAAAAAGAAACAAGACUCUGUAAAAUUUCCAUGAUGAAAGAACACAUUUGUUGAGAAAAUUGCCAUGGGUUUGAACAAAACUUUACCAUUGCCCCCAUUUACUAUCACAUAUCAUCUACGGCAAAAAGAAAGAAAACAGGCCUACUGCCCACAUCUAAAUUGGACAGAAUUUUUUGCCAUAGCAAGUAUAUAUAAACAUCAUGGCAAAAAUUGCAGUAAUUUUGAAAAAGGGGUCUCACAGUGUUAACAACAUGGAAAAAAACCAAACAAAAGGGCAUGUCACAAGCUGUGAAUGUUCUUAACAUUCAGAAAAAAAAUAAAACAAAAAAGGGAAUCUGGAAUCAAUUUUCAAUGCUUGCAUUAAAUCUGUAGAAUACAUAAACCGCAAGUGUUGUGAAUCAUUGACAUGAUUUUUAAAGACAACAAAUAAUAUGUUGAUAUUUUCAGGCGUUCAUGCUUCAGUUGUUGGUAAAAUUCAGGCAUUCAGGCACGGGAUGAAUUGUGAAGCAUUGACAACGAAUGACAUUGGGAAUGAAGCAUUGCUCACCUUGAAAACGCUUUCCUAAUUGAUGUGGCGGAAGUCACGGGUCACGGCGGUCGCUGCGAGGAACAAGCUGUGGGCACGGCGGCGACGCAUCCGGCUUGCUCGUCUUGCUGGUACUGCUUUAGAGUAGGAACGUGACCGAGGGUAUGGUCUGCGGCUGUGGCCGCUGGCACCACAACGCCGACGGUCAACGCUCCCUAAUGCAGAUGCUGCCCGCAGCGCGCGGAGCAGAGCUGUCCUGGCCGCCAGGCCUGGAGAGUCUGGCGCCGAGCCGAGCAUUGGCGUGAGCCAUCCCUGGCCGCAGGGCAUGUAGAUGAGGAAGAAGGAGGAGAAGCAAAGAGAAGAGCGCAAUGGAUUCACCGGCGAGCGGUCGCAGCGCUCCGGCGUACGGCGACGCGGGGACGACCAGAUCUCGGCGAGAGGAAGGCGUCGGCUGCUGCCUGGGUUGGAGGCGAAUCGACGGGAGCUCGGCGUCGUUGCAGGCAUCAGGGACGCCCGGUGUGGCGGCGGUGCACGACGAGCAGCUCGCCACCCCGUAUGGGCGUGGGUGCAGGCAUCAGGGAGAAGAAAGGAGUGUAGGAGGAGAAAAGGAUAGGGACAGAGGAGUGGGGCGGCGUUCGGGACGGCUGUCUUUCAUGCCGAACGAGCUUCUUCGCUGACGUGGUGAUUUUUGGUGCUCCAGGAUUCGUGCGAAAAAUCAAACGGUAGAGAAGGCGUUCGGACUGAGAAUCUAAAAAAGGUACGUUCUUAUUGAUUCCGGGGAUUUAUUUUCAUGAACUCAUAUGUAUGUCGUUUCUCGUGUUGAGCAUCGCUGUUUUCCAUUAAAUCAACCACCUGCAACUGCUGGCGUAUGCAUGUAUACAUCUGGGUUCAGCUGUGUCGUCGGUUUGGCCCGGAUUUGUCGUCACGGAGUACCUUACGUGUUCCCCUCGAUUGGCUGGGGCCUGGGUGCGUCGUGGCUCCGUUCAGAUCGUGUUGACGUCUUGACUCCGUUUGGUCUGGAACAUAUCUGGACUCGACGACGGGUACCUACUUGCGAGGUUUCAGAUAGGUUGGCUCCUUCGGAUGGGCAUGGCUCUGGCUGGCUGGCUGGCUAGUACGAGCGGUGCAGAUCCAUCAUGGACGGCCGCGUGCACAUGACGGACGUGCUCGUGCUUUGCCACGACGAUGCAAGGUCGUGGUCGUAGCAAUAUGACACACGGCACGGACCAUCCAGCAAGAUGAAUUGGCGGCUGUCGCGGUCAUCCUGCGCGUAACUACAGCCGUCAUUUCUCAAAAGAGAAAAAGCUGUAGCGGCCAUUCGUGACCGACGCGUGUGGCCAGCAGCAAUCCCUCCCACGUAGCAGAGACAUGAUCAUAUGCCGCAUGCAACUUGUGGUUUGCAAGGUUAUAUCCGCAUGCCGUGUGGCCAUUUGUGACCGACCCGUGCGGCCUGACCAGCAGCAAUCCCACGUAGCAUGCAUGCAAUUUUCUUUUUCUUCCUUUUUUGCGGGUGCCAUGCAUGCAAUUUCUAAAACACAAUAAAUGCUCCAUGCAUGCGUGCCAUGGUGGUCUCAGGCUUUUAAGAAUAUAAUAAUUUUUUUCCAAGACCACAACCCUGUGAAAGAAUUCAGUUUUGUUAAGAUCAAUCUUCACUUGUUUUCUAAUGCAGGAAUUCCUCUUAUCCUUUCUAAAGAACAUCUAGGACUUCAAUUUACCGAUUAAACUUAUGUUGAUGACAUAGUUAUGCCAUACAUUUCCUAGCCUCAGCUGACGCGAAAUAAAUUUUAUGGCCAUAGCAAUGUCGUCCAGUGAGCUGUGUGCACGUAGGACAAACAAUGAGCUGUGUGCACGUAGGAGUAAUUUGCAAGGAUCCUCAUUGUUUGUUGGAAGCAAACAACAUGUUUCGACUUUCAAGUAUUGAGCGCUUUGUACUUCUGACCGAUUGGUUCUCCACAUGUACUGUGACCGUCUCACUUUGUUAAAGCAACUACUACAAGGGGAUUAAUAAACCAGGAUGAAGGUACUAGCUCGUUUGCUCACUUUAGCCUAGAAAAGCGUGAUUGCUUUGCUUUGCAUUGCAUUGUUUUCUUCAAGGGGCUGAGGGGAGGUAGAUGAUACAGAUGUGCGUCAUUGUCAUCGGUGAUCAUCACAUUUCUUCUUCUUUUCACAUCUCUUUCAAGUAUUAGAAGCCAAGGGUCAAGGAAAACCGUGAGGGCCUUUAGAGCCCCAUUUUCCAUUCUUGGCAAAGAAAAAACAGUGCAGUUCGCACAUGCUGACACGAAUAUGUUACUGGCCUUGCACAAUGCGUAAGGUGGUUCGGUAACAUACUAGUGGCAUAUGGACACGGAGUCUGUGAUCCCGAACUCACAUGCAUCCGGGUGAAGAGUAAAAUCAGGAAAAUAGUAAUAACAAAGCACCAUCAGUGUUGCUAGGAACUCUAUCAUUAACUUGUACUAGACAAUUCUCCGUGCGUUGCUGCGGAAUUAGUUGCAAUAGUUUGGUUGAAAUUUGGUUGUGUGAUUUAUACGGUUGAACUAUGUAUAUAGUGGUAGUACUAUGCUAAAAUGCUUAAGAAAAACAUAAAAUUGUACAUGCAUGUGCCGUAUUGAUACCUUCAUUGACUGGUAAAUGGCUUAUAUUAAAAUCAUAAUAUAAAUAUCAUUUAUGACUGUCAAUACAUUCAGUCCUGAAUUAACUGUGUAUUAACAAUUUUAAAAAUAGCAUAUCUUGCACAUUCUUAUGACUGCAAGACAUCUAUAUAGCAACACCCAUAGCAUUGUAUCCCUAGAAGUUCCAACUUUCAUAUCACAAAAUAUUUACAAUUGGCAAGUACAUGGACAACCAGUGUGAUGUCUGUAGGUGAAUUCCCCAUGCGUUGCUGUAAGGAUUUGUGGACCAAAAUUGGAGAAGCAAUUGGUUAAUGAAGCAAAGAAGAAAAUACGAAUAUAGUUUUAGAGAACCCUAAUAUGUUAGUUGUGCUAAUCACAUUUGUCCUUGAGUUGAGAGGAAAAUUUAAGAAGACUAUCAUAACGAAUAUAGUGGUAGUACUAUGCUAAUCACAUUUGUCCUUGAGUUGAGAGGAAAAUUUAAGAAGACUAUCAUAACGAAUAUAGUGGUAGUACUAUGCUAAUCACAUUUGUCCUUGAUCUGCCAGGGAAAUACCAAAGCGAAUACUCGUAUCUCUGCGAAGAAAACAAUAACGUUGAAAUUGUGAGGGCAUCUCGUAUCUCUGCAACUGCAGAUUUAUAUAGUGUGCAUGCAUGAGAAGUUGAAGCAGAAAACCCGACACUGACCGAAGUUUUGCAGUAAUAAAGAUCAGGCAAAUUAAGCUAAAGAGAAAAUCUUGGUCAGCCAUGUAGGUGAGAUCCUGAUUCAAGAGGGGAAAGGUUGUUGUCCUUCAGUUUUGUGUGUGGUCAUACUGAUUUGCGUAAAAUAUGCCUACACUGCCCUGUUCAUCUGCAAGCAUAAACGAGCAACCCAUGAUAUUGCAAAAACAUCUAAAUAUAUUAUAGAGAUAAUCAGUAAGUAACUACAUUUUUUUUGCGGGGACUAAGUAACUACGUUAGGAAUGUAUCUCAUCAUACAUUGCAUAGUGUUAAUCUCUGCAGAAAAAAGAAAUAUGCAUCAAGAAGCUAACAUCAAUGCCUACCUCUAUGGGGUGGGUUUACCGGCGGUCCGAAGGUUGAAGAGAAAUCAAGAGCGGCAGGAGGAGGGAUUCCAGAUGCUAUGGGAAAGAGGAUUAGAGGGAUUAUAAAAAACAAAUAAAAAUAGAACGAACCAAUCUUGAUUAUGGCCAAUGACUCUUCAAUGUUCAACGCUUUAUUAUUUGGAAAUGGUCAAAAAAAGGUAAAUCCACAACUUAGUUGUAGUGAGUAUAUAUAGCUAUAGUACAAGUGCACCUCAGUGGUCAGCGGCGAGUGGUGGCCUGGGGUCUCGGCAAGCCGGCCGCCAUGGCGUCAAAUAGGAGUAGCGCUGUUUUGGUGUUUCCCUUGUAGGUUGUGCGACCACCCUCGCCGACAUGGACGACCGGAGGAGGUAGGCGCCGCGUAUGUGGACACACGAAGACGCUGCUGCUGGAACGGCCGGCCCGUGGGAGGAGCAUUAGAACCUUUGGCGUGGACGGCCGAUGGAGGAGCGAGCCUUCAUGAUAGGGAAGAAAAGACGUGCAAGCAAAAUUUGGUGGGGAGUUCAUAAGGCGCUGGGUCUCAGCUCUCUAUCACCAGUUACAGAAUAUGGAGGAACUAAUGCCAACUGAGUGGAAAUUAAAUCCCACGAUUUCCUGAAAGGUUGUGGUGGGUCCCUUUAGAAAGUAACUAAGCGAUUAUGCGGCCAGCUAGCAAGUAACUAAACGCUUAUGUGCCGGCUGGUGUACCUACUGUAGUGGUUGGUCCGUAUGUAAGUGACUAAUAGACUGCUGAUGUGUAAUCGAUGAUGUGGCUACACUGCAGAGGUGGAAAGAAGUGGACGGUUGCAUGUUGACUGGUUAUGUGGACAGUGUGCAUGAUGAGAGAAUAGAUAGUAGUGGGGAUCGACUUCUUAAGAAUGUUAGAUUUGUGUGAGAAACUAUACCACUAUAACUCCCAUGCAAGUAGUUAAACAUUAGGCCAUCAAGACCAAAAAUAAGCUGAUGAAUGGGUCUCAAGACCAAUCGUCAAAACCUAAUCGAUCUAUGACCUGUAACCUAAUAUGCAAUGUAACACCAAAUUAAGGUUGUGCUGCCUUAUGCAUACCGGCUAACGACAUCCAAAGUAGAAAUAAUCUCAAGAUAAAAUAUGUGGAAAAUAAAUUACUCGCCCAAUCAGCAAGACGGCGAUCUAAUCCAUGGUAUCGUUUACUUAUUGCAAAGUCACCCAAUCCUACUAGGGUUCAAGGUCACACAACAUCAACAGAGGACCCACAACCAAAAUCGCAAAAGAAAUGACCCACGGCCGAGAGCCCGAGAGGGUCAUGUCACUUUGCAUGCCAAAAACUCAGGACCAAAAUCCCGGGCAAGCAGCACGCACCACGCAGCCACGCUUAGUUGAGCUAGCUGCAUGAGAUUAUGUGAUUAUGUGCAUGUAUCAGUUCAUGGGAGAGGUACUGAUGGCAUCGUGGUUCUAGCUAAGGAAGAAUAAACCUAUAGUAUGCACGCAGUAUGCCUGCGAGGACCGAUUGAUGGUGUGCCGUAUGUAUGUGUGAAUCUACUACUGUCCGGGAUUUAUGUUCAUGAACUAUGUGUGUCGUUUCUUGUGUUAAUCAUCGUUUUCCAUUUCCAUUCAACCACCUACAACUGCUGGCGUAUGCAUGUAUUCAUCUGGGUUCACCUGUGCCGUCGGUUUGGCCCGGAUUUUUCGUCACGGAGUACCUCCUCUCGAUUGGCUGGGUUCGUCGUGGCUCCGUUCAGAUCGUGUUCACGUCUUGACUCCGUUUGGCCUGGACUCUGGACUCGACGACGGGUACCAACUUGCGAGGUUUCAGAUCGGUUGGGUCCUUGAUGGGAAUGGCUCUGGCUGGCUGGCUAGUACGAGCGGUGCAGAUCCAUCAUGGCCGGCCGCGUGCACAGGACGGACGUGCUCGUGCUUUUGCCGCAACGAUGCAAGGUCGUAGUCGUAACAACAUGACACACGGCACGAACCAUCCAACAAGAUAAGUUGGCGGCUGCGCGUAACUACAGCGGUCAUUUCUCAAAAGAGAAAAACGUAUAGCGGACAUUCGUGACCGACGCGUGUGGCCUGGCCAGCAGCAACCCCACGUAGUAGAAACGUACGGUCAUAUCCUCCACGCAUGCAAUUUCUAAGAAACAAAAAAUGCUCCAUGCAUGCGUGCCAUGGUGGUCUCAUGCUUUUAAGAAUAUAUUUUUUCCAAGAGCACAACUCUGUGAAAGAAUUCAUGUUAUCCACUGUUCCCUUUUAAGAUCAAUCUUCACUUGUUUUCUAAUGCCAGAAUUCCUCUUAUCCAUUCUAAAGAACAUCUAGAACUUCAAUUCACCGAUUAAACUUAUGUUGAUGAUGUGUGUUAAAAAAACGUACGUUGAUGAUAUAGUUAUGCCAUACAUUUCCUUGCCUCAGCUGAGGCGAAAUAAAUUUUAUAUAUGGCCGUAGCAAUGUUGUCCAGUGAGUUGUGUACACCAGUGCACGUAGGUGUUUUUUUCUCUCUCUUUGAGAUACUAGUAAUUUGAGUAGGGCAAGCAGCCCGCACCACGGCAGCCACGCUUUGUUGACCCAGCUGCAUGAGAUUAUGUGAUUAUGUCCAUGGAUCAGCUCAUGUGAGAGGUACUUGGUUCUAGCUAGGGAAGGAUAAACCUAUAGUAUGCACGCAGUAUGCUGCGAGGACUGAUUGUGAUCGAGUGCCGUAUGUUUGUGUGAAUCUACUAGCUAGUGUCCGGGAUUUAUGUUCAUGAACUCAUAUGUUGUUCCUGGUGUUGAGCAUCAUUGUUUUCCAUUAAUUCAACCACCUGCAACUGCUGGCGUAUGUAUCCAUCGGGGUUCAG
This 10139-nucleotide long non-coding RNA is filed under the name Triticum aestivum (bread wheat). RNAcentral describes it as "long non-coding RNA (TAES_LNC024767)". The record is from RNAcentral. Lineage: Eukaryota; Viridiplantae; Streptophyta; Magnoliopsida; Poales; Poaceae.